GUUUCCGUAAUAUAGUGGUUAUCACGUUCGCCUCACAUGCGAAAAGUCCUUAGUUCGAAAUCGGGCGGAAACA
This is a non-coding RNA of Albula glossodonta (roundjaw bonefish), 73 nucleotides long. The record is from the annotation of a GenBank genome assembly. NCBI's taxonomy places the organism in Eukaryota, Metazoa, Chordata, Actinopteri, Albuliformes, Albulidae.